UAGGGAAUAUUGGGCAAUGGACGGAAGUCUGACCCAGCCAUGCCGCGUGCAGGAAGAAGGUCCUCUGGAUUGUAAACUGCUUUAGACGGGGAAGAAUAAGGGAGAUGCGUCUCCUGAUGACGGUACCUGUAGAAUAAGCACCGGCUAACUACGUGCCAGCAGCCGCGGUAAUACGUAGGGUGCGAGCGUUGUCCGGAUUUAUUGGGUUUAAAGGGUGCGUAGGCGGGGGAAUAAGUUUGCUUUUAAAGCCGGCCGCUUAACGGUCAGGUAGGGGGCAGAUACUGUUUUUCUUGAGAUAUCUGGGGGCUGGCGGAAUUUGUGGUGUAGCGGUGAAAUGCAUAGAUACCACAAGGAACACCGAUAGCGUAGGCAGCUAGCCACGGAUUAUCUGACGCUGAGG
Molecule: ribosomal RNA, 400 nt
Filed under: uncultured bacterium
Lineage: Bacteria
Description: bacterial SSU rRNA
Rfam family: Bacterial small subunit ribosomal RNA
Source: RNAcentral